UCUUCACAGCUCUAUGUGAUCCCGUUCCUUCCAUCAACUUCAGGUUGCAUUUCCCACAGAGAGCAUUUCAGAACCAUUUUUUUACUCUGAGGAGUUUACAGGUCUGACAAACAAAAUAGGCAACCAAGUGGCUCAGACUAAAAUGACUAUGACACGAUGUCAAGAAUCAAUGUUUUUUUUUAAUGCACUAAAAUGUGGUCAGAUGUUUGGCUUGGAUGCUUCCAAGCCAGAUGGAACAUUUUGUCUCUGACAGAGUUUAGAUUCUACUUGAACUUAAUUUCUAUCUCCUCUGUCAUCUAAGUCAAAUUAGCUACAUGUGACACUUAAUGCUUGCUGUCUUUCCCCUUGUCUAACACACGAUUACUGUGGCACAAGAGGUACAGCUGUUAAGGACACGGUUUGGAGAAUGAUGGGAUACCUCUUGACCAAUGAAGUUGCCAGACAGAUGAAUUGGAAAGGAGCCAAUGGCAAAGCAGCCUUCAAGAACCUUACUCUAAGAGAAGUAAUCAAUGGCAAAGAUGCGGACUUAAGGAAAAGAGCACCAGAGCACAAAGAGCUCAGAAAGUCUGCGAGAGAGUCCUCAUGCACUGACAGUGGGACAGCCCUAAACUCUUGUGGAUUCACCGAAAAAGCCAUCAUCCGUUUGCUGUGAGUGUGGAGAUCGGAAGAGUUGAAUCUUACUCAAUUGUCCCUCCGGGCUCCCUUACAGUCAAGAUGGCAGCUAAGAUAACAAAAACGGGGAUUUAUUCAUCUCCUAUCCUAUCUAUAAGUGGAUCUUAACAUAUCAGAAAGGGAAUUAAUCUGCAGAUGCUCUGGUUCAAGAUGAGACUAGACUUUUCUAUGGAUGUCUGUUUUUGAGUCACGACAAACAACAAAAUGUGCAACAGAUCAGGUAAGCCUUGUUUUUAACCUAGCCGACUGCAGGAAAUGCCUUUAGCUAUGGCGAAUACCGCUGAAAACACCAAAGUCUAAGCUUUACAAUAGGCUCAGUCAAUAACAUAGGUUCAUAGGCACUGAUUGAUGAAUAAAGUGACUUUUAUGUUAAAUGAUCUGUCGCGUGUAGAAUCAAAUGUAGGUUUAUUUUAUGUCAAACACAUUAAGUAACAAAAUAUCUAAACUUUUUGUUUAGUGUUGAGUAUUUGGCCCUACAACCAUGCUACAAUCACACACCACCAAUUCCCUUGAAGUCUUUUGAGCUUGCACAGGGGUGAUGUACUGUUGUCUUUUUGAGCGUUACGGUUAGUACAGCAUUCAAAAAUCAGAAGGAAUCAACUUUGCAAUGGAAGGUGACUUUUUCCCGCAGACUGCUUCAAAUGAAGUUAACCUGUCUAAUCUUGGACCUUAACAUAUUGCAAAGCAUGCAACAUGAAUUUAAUUGUUCCCUACAGUGGUGUUCUAACCUAAAGAAAUAAGCAAACAUUAGAAGCUGAAGUAUAUGCAGGUUUUAUUCCACUUGUGGGAUUUUAGAAAGUGAUUCAUGAUGGACUGUCAUCUGCACUUACUCUGUACCUAACCUAGCUGAACAGAACACAUAGUGCCACUAGCAUUACAUAACCCACCAUGAAAAAUAGAGCAUGGUCUCAAGGAGUUAUGAUGCCUUAUGAAUACAUGCAAGGUGACACAGCAGUACAAUGGAAUACUAAUCAGCUGCCAGAAACUAGAGCUUAAUUAAUUCAUUCUGCUCUCUGCUAGGUAAGAAUAUUGAAUGUUUCCCCUCUUCUGUCUGCAUUUAAUUGCUUCAUGUCGAAAAAGACUAAAGGCAGUGGUGGCAGUGUUCCUACUUGGUCUCCUUGAAGAAGACCUUAGUGUCACUAAGUCAGGAAAUAAACCUUAGCAUGCAGUAAAUGGUGUGCUUUCCACUGAGGAUGAAGGGAUAUGUCCACACCAAUCUGAUACUAUGCUCCUCAGCUUUUACAUUUCGAGUGUAGGUGAAUGCGGAUGGUUUUUUCAUACUUAAUAUGUUUCUUCUGGGUUGACAUGCUAUCAGUAACCUGUCAGUCUGUAUGACUUUCAUGUUGACACCCCUUGAUUCAUUUGUAAUUUGUGGAAAGUUAAGGCGAACCUAAAUGUAUCAAAGGAAGUAAAAGCCAAUAAUUUAGGAUUUUUUACCCGGUUGUUCCGGCUAAAAGGUUUUUUCACACUUAAUCUGUUCUGUUCAGUUCGGACUCUGGUGCAUUUGCCCAUUAGGCUUGGUUCACCUACGCUAGUGUGAAAACUAAUAAUUCUAAACAACAGGACUGAGACGGUCUAAAAGACGCGUGAAACACUUAAGCGUGUCAGCAUGUGAGGGUGCAUUUUCCCUGACACAUUGGAAAGUGACAAGGGGUUAAAGCAAGAGUUUGUUGAGCUUGUGUCCCACCCUGUAUAUUUUGAUUGUCCUUCUUUGAAAAAGUGAGUGGAGUGGCCACACAGCCCCAUGGGGCCCUACAUUGAUAAUGUAGGAUGACAUCAUCAAAACCUGCAUCAAAGUAAACAUUUUACAUAAAAUGGCAGUGAAAUGUUCUUGUUUAAAAUGAACAAAAUAGUUAUCCUAAAUUUUAGAGCAUGUCAUACAACUGUAGCAUGGUUAUGCUAAUAUUUCUGAUUUAGUAUAACUUCAUAUAGUGUCUGGUUACACUUGGAAUGAUGUGUUCUUGAAUAAACCCUAGAAACAGUCUUAGACGUUGGAUGGCUAACAGCUUCUCCAGCAUGAUGAGAGCAAGUAUGAGUUUGUCUUUUCUACACAAUGAAAUUAUCAUCACCAUCAAUAAAACCGUCUGUCUGUUA
Long non-coding RNA from Micropterus salmoides (largemouth bass), 2766 nucleotides. RefSeq lists it as uncharacterized. The transcript is spliced from 2 exons. The record is from RefSeq and is a predicted model, not a curated record. NCBI's taxonomy places the organism in Eukaryota, Metazoa, Chordata, Actinopteri, Centrarchiformes, Centrarchidae.